RNAcentral lists this ribosomal RNA (231 nucleotides) under uncultured bacterium. RNAcentral describes it as "partial 16S ribosomal RNA". It matches the Rfam family "Bacterial small subunit ribosomal RNA", at positions 1256 to 1500 of the family's 1533-position model. The record is from RNAcentral.
AGUGAUGUGAAGCAAAUCGCACCAAAGACCGGUCCCAGUUCGGAUAAGAGGCUGAAACUCGCCUCUUUGAAGUCGGAAUCGCUAGUAAUCGCAGAUCAGCAUGUUGCGGUGAAUACGUUCCCGGGUCUUGUACACACCGCCCGUCAAACCAUGAGAGUCACCAACACCCGAAGUCCGCUUUGGCGGCCUAAGGUGGGGGAGAUGAUUGGGGUUAAGUCGUAACAAGGUACC